Molecule: ribosomal RNA, 511 nt
Filed under: uncultured bacterium
Lineage: Bacteria
Description: bacterial SSU rRNA
Rfam family: Bacterial small subunit ribosomal RNA
Source: RNAcentral
AUUGAACGCUGGCGGCAUGCCUAACACAUGCAAGUCGCGCGAGCUGUAGCAAUACAGCUAGCGGCGGACGGGUGAGGAAUACAUAGGAAUCUGCCUCAGAGCGGGGAGUAGCCAGGAACCAGUAGUGAGUAAUACCGCAUGAUGUCGCAAGACCAAAGCUGGGACCGCAGCCUAGCACUCUGAGAGGAGCUUAUGUCUGAUUAGCUAGUUGGUGAGGUAAUGGCUCACCAAGGCGACGAUCAGUAACUGGUCUGAGAGGACGAUCAGUCACACCGGAACUGAGACACGGUCCGGACUCCUACGGGAGGCAGCAGUGGGGAAUAUUGGACAAUGGCGCAAGCCUGAUCCAGCAAUGCCGCGUGUGUGAAGAAGGCCUCGGGUUGUAAAGCACUUUAGGCUGGAAGAAAAAUCGAAGCUAACAUCUUCGAUCUUGACGGUACCAGCAGAAUAAGCACCGGCUAACUCUGUGCCAGCAGCCGCGGUAAUACAGAGGGUGCAAGCGUUAAUCGGA